CAAAAACAUUUCCUUCUAGUUUAGAAGGUAAGGCCUGCUCACUGAAAUUUAAAGAGCCGCAGUAUCCUAACUGUGCUAAGGUAGCAUAAUCAUUAGUCUUUUAAUUGGAGACUGGUAUGAAUGGCUAAACGAGAAAUUGACUUUUUUUGUUAUAAAAAUUGAAUUUAAUUUUUUAGUGAAAAAGCUAAAAUUUUUCAGAAAGACGAGAAGACCCUGUAGAGUUUUAUAUUUAAAGGUAUAUUUUCUAAUUAGAUUUUCAUAGAUUAUAUAUUACAGAAUAUUUUGUUGGGGCGACAUUAAGAUAUAAAAAACUCUUUAUUUUUUAAAUUUUUAUAAAAAACCUUUUUGAUCCUCUAAAAGAGAUCAAAAGAAAAAAUUACCUUAGGGAUAACAGCGUAAUCUUUUUUGAGAGUUCUAAUCGACAAAAAGGUUUGCGACCUCGAUGUUGGACUAAAAUUUAGGCAGGGUGCAGCAGUUCUGCUUUAAGGUCUGUUCGACCUAUAAUAUUUUACAUGAUCUGAGU
Molecule: ribosomal RNA, 523 nt
Filed under: Balanus glandula
Lineage: Eukaryota; Metazoa; Arthropoda; Thecostraca; Balanomorpha; Balanidae
Description: partial 16S ribosomal RNA
Rfam family: Bacterial large subunit ribosomal RNA
Source: RNAcentral